GUGAAUCAUCGAAUUUUUGAACGCAAAUUGCACUCUCUUCGGAGAGUAUGCCUGUUUGAGGGUCAGCCUAAAAAAAAAAUCGACAUAGUCGCUGUUUCGCGGUUACAUUCGUCUGAAAUUGUUUCAUCUUAAACCUUUUGUUUUUAAUCUGCUUAAUUUUUUCUUUUCGUUUCCACGACCUUUUCUCAUAUUUCCUUCUUUUUCUUUUAAUUUAU
RNAcentral lists this unclassified non-coding RNA (215 nucleotides) under Glomus sp. RNAcentral's name for it is "partial contains 5.8S ribosomal RNA and internal transcribed spacer 2". The stretch from base 1 to 65 matches the Rfam family "5.8S ribosomal RNA", at positions 84 to 154 of the family's 154-position model. The record is from RNAcentral. Lineage: Eukaryota; Fungi; Glomeromycota; Glomeromycetes; Glomerales; Glomeraceae.